GAUGAACGCUGGCGGCGUGCCUAAUACAUGCAAGUCGAGCGAACAGACGAGGAGCUUGCUCCUCUGACGUUAGCGGCGGACGGGUGAGUAACACGUGGAUAACCUACCUAUAAGACUGGGAUAACUUCGGGAAACCGGAGCUAAUACCGGAUAAUAUAUUGAACCGCAUGGUUCAAUAGUGAAAGACGGUUUUGCUGUCACUUAUAGAUGGAUCCGCGCCGCAUUAGCUAGUUGGUAAGGUAACGGCUUACCAAGGCUACGAUGCGUAGCCGACCUGAGAGGCUGAUCGGCCACACUGGAACUGAGACACGGUCCAGACUCCUACGGGAGGCAGCAGUAGGGAAUCUUACGCAAUGGGCGAAAGCCUGACGGAGCAACGCCGCGUGAGUGAUGAAGGUCUUCGGAUCGUAAAACUCUGUUAUUAGGGAAGAACAAAUGUGUAAGUAACUAUGCACGUCUUGACGGUACCUAAUCAGAAAGCCACGGCUAACUACGUG
Molecule: ribosomal RNA, 497 nt
Filed under: uncultured bacterium
Lineage: Bacteria
Description: partial 16S ribosomal RNA
Rfam family: Bacterial small subunit ribosomal RNA
Source: RNAcentral